CCUGGCCCCGGAGCGGUUUAGCCGCUGCCUUGUGUCGCGGCCGCGUGCCGGGCGAUGGCCGCCCAGACCCCCGGGCCCCCGAUCGCCAACCCCGGGGCUUCCCACCCGCGCCUCGGUGGAGGGAGGCCCCGGAGGCGCCAUCGCUCGCGCCUGCCACCUGGACGCUGAAUAAACUGGGAAACAAUUAGGUGGCCGGGUGGGGAAGGUGCUGGGUGACUGCACUGCCAGGCGGCCGCGUGCCCCCGCGCUCGCAGGGGUUGGCGAUUGGGGGCGGUUGGGAGUUUGUGUUUAGGGAGGAAGGUGAGAGGUGCGGGAUCUGCCCACGAGGGCAGUCGCUCUCGGAGAAUCGGGGAAUGGCUCUGUCAGGUCGCAGGCCCUCCUCCGCCUUUAUCCCCAUCACGCACAAAAAGAAUGGGCCUUGCAAGGGAUGUUUAUUAUGCACUUUUAAGUGACUAUUCAGAAAAGAGCAGGAGGCACAAUAAAAAAGGCUUCUGCCCCACCAAUUCCCUUCCCUUGAAGAAAAAAAGAAAGAGAAAGCCACCCACAAAGGGCCAACCCAAGGGGCUAAUAAAAUCUGAGAGCUGUUAGUCCCAAAUACAUUUUGUGCGGGAGUUUGUGAAAGCAACUUUUGCCGAGUGCAAACGUCAGACGAUGAAACUGAAAAUACUUCCAAAGUCACAGGCUCCUCUUCCAAUCACAGCGCCUCACAUUUCCAGCGCUCCGGGAUAAAGUUGUCUGAGGAAAAUAAAAGUGUUGAUAAACCAUGGUUCCAGAUUGUUACUUAUUUUACAACCCUCGGUUUGCAAUCGAUCAUAGCUUGGGCCUAACAGGACUGACUCCGGCUUUUCAUUUGUUUAUAGUGUGUGCAAUGUUUUAUGCCUCAAAUGUACCAUGUCAGCUAUGUAAAAUAAUGCAGUAUUUUUGUUCGCAUCCUGGAUCCACUUGCACAAUGGUUUUUGUUUAAAAUGAAGGCGGUGAUUAUUUUCCAUUAUUACAGAAUGGAAACUUCAAUCCUAAACAUCUGAGAAACAUAGCUGAAGAAUCCACUGCUGAGCUGGGAAAAGCCGAGAGAAGCUCGUGUUUACUUGAUUCACAAAGUGCAAUUGACUCUAUUUAACUUGACCAAUUUAAAUCCAAUCUAAUAAACCACAAGCUUGCUUCCGCUUCAAAAAAGCCAACAGGCCACCCUGAGGCCCAAAGUCCAUCUUUCUCAGUGCCAUGAUGUCAAAUAAACCUGUGAUGCCCUUGUUUUUGCUAAGCGAAUGGCUCAUAUGUUGCAGUUAAUUUUUCUGGUGCAACAAUCACAUUGUAAUUUUCCAUGACUCUUCUCUAUAAGUACAAAGAAACCCUGGAAUCAUGGAAUUUUGAGCCAGAGGGAACCUCUUCACUUUACAUGGGAAGAAAUGGAGAGAGAGAGAGAGAGAGAGAAGUGAAGUGCCUGCCCGCUCUCACACGGGCUCUACCACCUGCCUCCAGGUCUCCCUGCUCCCUAACAGGUGGUUUCUCCCCGCCUCAGCCUCUUGAAGAGAUGGAAGGAAGGAAACUGGGAAAGGACUCAAGAGCAACACUUCAGGAAGCACAGGGAAACCAAGGGAAUGCAGUAACAGAAUUAACAGGAUGUGGGAAAGGUUCGAGUGAUAAAUCCAGGUGGUUAAAUGAGUUUCAAAGCAUCAGGAGCCAGGUCAUAAUAGAGAAACCAUGGGAAGGGCAGAGGCUGUGUAAAAAAUAAUCUGGGAAAAUAAGGACUGUGGAGAGAAAGCAAGUGCUUUUUAAGAUGUGUCAAACAUAGGGUCAAAGUUAGAUCAAGAGGAGAAAAGGAAAAGUCUGGGGGAAUGUCUGUAGACAGGCAGAAAGAGAGUGAGUGAACUGAUGUCCUAAAGAUUCCUUCUGUACGGCGCUGCUGAGGAAGAGAGCGUGACGAACGGCCUCACGAGAAUGAGCUAGUGCAGGGCUGAGAGACACAGGAAUGGCCGCAGUCAUGGUGAAUUGUGGGCAGUGGUGAGAGUUUCGUCCCAGGAGCAUGAUGAGAAUGCCAGCGCCUGACCCACAUCAAGGCUGCUUCAUCUGCGGCGAGAUGGAGAGUGUCCUAAACCAGUCAGCCCUCAGAUGAAGAAGCGUGCUGUCCAAUGUCACCCAGCAGCUGGGUGCCGGGCAGAGGAAAUUCAGGCUUUCUCUUCUGCAUCUGCGCAUGCCCACGGUCACGCCCCUUUCCUGGUUCGGAUUUGGAAUUGUUCAGUUAGGAAGGGCUCUGAAGAGAUGCCUUUCGAUUUCCUUGGGGUUAGCUGGUUCAAAUCUCCCUCAUGUAUAAACUAAGAAUGUGUUCUACAGUGUUCCUCAGCUUAUUAGUUUUCCUGGAAGAAAUGGAUGAUUCUCAUUGUCACUUGAAAACAUCCACAUUUUGGAAAUGCCUGGGCUAGCGAAGUGUAAUAAUAAAAUUCAUUUCAAUUGGUCAGUCUCGAAGGUUAAUUGAGCAGUUAUACUUUAUUCUAAUUAUUUCUGGCUAACAUUGAAGUGAUGGCAAAGUAGUAAGGAUUUUUGGCCAACUCCUUGGGUUUUUUCCUCUCUGUCAUUUUUUUUUUAAUGACUGCCCAGUGUGGGCAAGGACCUACUACUCAAAGCAGAUGACCUUGGCAGCAGUGUUUCUGAAAUCCUGGGUUCUGGAAUACUUUAAGGCUCUUCGUCACCUUUAAGAGCUGUCCUUAUGAGGCCAGGAAUCUAGCUGAGUUUGGUGUGGGUAGACAAUGGGAUGCUCUGGUUGCCUGGAAACCCUGGUGAACCGAUGGUGACCACAUCCGUUAUAAACCGGGGCCUGAUUCUUAGCAACUUCAAAGGUUUCUGGAGCAGCGCUAGCUGCCAGCUCUUCUUACAUAGAGCAACAGGCAGAAAUCGUUGGUAAUCUGGCAAAUGACAAACUUCAUACCCUAGGAUGUUUACUCUCUCUCUGUAUACUGAAUUUGCACACAAUCUAGAGUUAUUAUUUCCUCACAAAUAAUUUCUAUCUAAUGAAUAAUGAUGUCUUUGUUGUGAGCCGAUAGUCCAAGUAGCAAGUUUCCCCUAGUCAGAAUUAUCUACAACUAUUAUGUGUUUUCGCACUCAAACUUUUCUUACAGAAACAAAAACUUUUAUUAAAAUAGUUAGAAAUUAUUUUAAAAUUAGCAUAUAAAAUAAAGAAUGCAAUAUUCAAGCAGGAUACCCAUAAGCCAUUUCAAGCAUAAUUUAUGGUUACAUAGACAAUUUAAACAAUUAGGGAUUUUCCCCCACUGACUAUUAAUUCUUUUUAACGAUGGUUUUUCUCUCUCUGUUCCUCCCAAGCUAAAAAGCACAAGUUAUUUAUCUUUCCUGGUUUGUUCACUAUUUUCCAGGAUUUAUUUACAACCCCCUAAAAACGAGUGUUGAAACUCUUGCAUCUGCCCUAUUUCUGUUUACUCUACCCUUAUCUCCAGCUGGAAAACCAUAAGGAAAAGGAAUUUAAAGAAAAUUCUAAAUUCAUUACUCCCACUCUCUUCCUAUCUCACCAUAUUUGACUCAUCAAUAUGUGCUGAGCACUCACCAUGAGACAGACAUUGAGAAACAGGUGAACAAGUGUGGUCCCAGCCCUCCAGGAGCUUACAACCACCUGCGGACGGGGUACCUACAUGUACCCAGGAAAUGAUUAUGUAACGGAGUAAGUGCUAUAAGCACUUAGCCCAGCCUCAAAACUUUGGCGUAUUUUCAUAAGAAGAUGAAAAAAAUGAGGAAAAUUGUAUGAUAGCUUAUUUCAUGUUAACUUCAUGAUGGUCUUUUUCUAGCCAUAGACAUCAUCUUAAAAUCCCUCCUCUCCAACAGGUACUAGAAAUAUUCACUUAUUUACAGUUCUAGUAAGCUGUUAGCAACCACAGAUUUAAUUCUAAAUUAUCCCAUAGAAUGUACCUUUUCACAGAGCUUGAGUUUUAAAAGAAAUCCCAGACAUACUUGGUUCAGCAUUGACCUGUGUGACAUUGACUUGUUAGAGUGCCAUAUAUAUGAGAUCUAUUUUAAAUAUGUGUAUAUGUACAUCUAAUAUAUACAUGUUUCACUCUGGAUAUUAAAUUACAAGUUUGGUAGUGACUUGAGGUGCCAUUAAGAAAUUGGUCUAAGAGACCAAAUAUAAAAGUUGUCAGGCAAUUAGGAAUUGGUGAAAGUUCUUGGACUUGACAAAUGGUAUUAUAAACAAAUAUUGCUGUAGCUUGAGAAGGAUGGACCAACAAAUGUAUGACCACUAGCCAGAAGAAACCAUGGCUGGAGUGUGUCCUGACUUCAGGGGAUGUAAAGAGAAUGUUGGAGUGACUGCAAAGUAGAAUAUAGGAAUCUGCAUCCUCGGAGACUGUACUCUGACAAACCCGUUAUAUCAGAUGCUAUUGCUUUCACCUGUUUGUAGCAGGCCCCUACUCUACUGGCAUCACUAGGUAGGAAUUUGUUUUUCACUUGGCAGGAGGCAGGCCAGGGCUAGUUCAGAGGCCCUACAAUUCCAGGAGAAAUUCCGUUUCCUCUCUCUUCCUCUCUAUCAUCCUUAGCAUCUACUUUUUCCCCUUAUGGUGACAAGAUGACCCCUUUACCUCCAGGCAUCGUGUCUGUAUUCCAUGUAGAAAAGAAGAAGGGCAAAAGGUAUGUACCAGCUGAGUUCAUCCCUUUUUAUAGGAAAACAAUAGCUUGCUAAGGCCUCACCAAGUAGAGUCUACUUCUGUACCACUGGAUAGAACUAGGUCACAUGGCCUGAGCGUUAAAGAAUCUGGGGAGGUGAGAAAUGCUAACAGGGCACAUAGCCCAGGCCCAAACAAAUCCAAGGUAUCUUGUUAAGGCAAAAAGGAGAAAUGGACAUUGGGUAUAGAACCAGUGCUGAUUCCGUCAGUGUUUCCAAUUUUAAAAGAUGUCACCUCACACACUAAUGCAUUCAACUACCCUGUGUUUAUAUACAAUGUAGUACUGUUGUAAAAUAAACAUAUCAAAUCAUUUUUGUAUCUCAGUACUCUUUCCUUCAGUAAAGAGGUAGCAUUUUUGUAAAUGUAUCCAGUAACUUGACCAAUUUUAGAGGCUGUCAAGAAACCCAAUAUUACUUUAUAGUAAUAAAGAUAUAUACUCUACUUCAUUCUGGAUCUUAAUCUCACACUAUGCUAUAUUUUUAAAGGGUUUUGUGUCCUUACUGCUGGAAGUUUAUUUGCUGGCUUAUAAUAAAUGUAUGGCUAACAUUCAGUAAUGCUUUAAUACACAAGACCGGUGUGAAGGUAUUUGAGCAACCCCGGGAAUUGUGGUGAUCUGGGUGGUGAAAGAAGAGGAAGCGUUGGAUGGGCAAUAUAUUUCAAUGAUUAUAUAUGCCUAUCAUUAAAAAGCAUUUAUUAAGCACCUAUAUGCACGUAUCACUGUUGUCAAAGAGAUGUUUUACUCCAAUCAACUCUGGAUUUUAUUAAUCCUUUUACCUAUUUUUUAUAAACUGUUUUUCCACUCAGCAAUAUCUCAACCAGAGUAGACAGAGAGGGGCAGAUAAAGCUCAAACCAGUCAACCUAAUCGUGUUAUUAGCUAUAGUUAAAAGUUUGCUGAGGGAGGAGAUUGAAACUAUUUGUAAAAUGAGGUUUGUGUUUGUGGAUUUCAGUUAUCCCUGCUAUUCCUAGUACCUCUUUCCAUGGACAAUCAAGAGUUGGAUGAAUCUAAAACUAUUGUUUCGGAGCAAGAUUUGGUUGCUAUCUGUCAGAGAUCAUAAUUAGCAUCAAAAAGCAUUUAUUCCACCCUACUUUUUUAAAGGCAUUGUACUAGCUGGUAGCAGUGGGGACAUUUGGAAAAAGUAAUGUUAUAGCAGCCCUCUUACCACAUUGCACAUUUUCUUAGAAAAAGCAAGUAAUGAGUACAUAAGUGUAUAUAACCUUCAACAUGAUGGGAGGAAAGAAUACAAGUGUUUUUUUCCUCAAUAGUUAGAUUCGCAUUCUUAGGAGUCUGGCUGAAGGCAUCAGCCAACGUGUAUCAUCUCAUCCAGUUAUCCCAAAAGGGAAGUUUGAAUGUUCAAUUUACACAAACGUGUUGACUUAGGUUUUGCAAAUGAAGGACUUUUUUCUAAACAUCUCAUGCUAUGCUCCACGUUAGACUCUGCUCUCAGUCUUCCUUUGAUUGCAGCACAAAGAAACUUGACUCUGCCAAUUACUGUGUGACCUUAGGCAAGUCACUCACUUAACCUUUCUGGGCUUCCUUUCCUUCUUCUUAAAGUGGGGGCAGCAAAAUCUACUCUGCAGGGUUGUUAAUGGGGGAAAAAAGGUGACUUUGAAUGUAAAAUCACUUUGUAAAAUGUGACGUGCUAUACUAAUAUAUUAUUGUUUCAUUAAUCCAAACAUCCUAUUGAGGAGUUUUUAUCUGAUGCUGAGCAUCUGAAUGACUUUGAGCUUGGAAUAACUUUGAUGAAGUACCACACGGUCUCAAAGACCAGCCAUCGUUGGCCAGCUAAUUGGAAAAUCUCUGGUUUUGAAGUGAGUUCCAAGGUGGUAUAUAAUGCACUUCUGCUUCAGCCAUCCUAUUUAGGAUAAGCUACUUCGGAAAUAGUCACAAAUCAUUUUCCAGGUUUGCUAUAGUAAAUGGGUACUCAGCCUUCAGAAAGAACAGAAAGGUAGGUAGCCAUUGUCAUCAUUCAUUCAUUUAGUGUAGAGUGUUAUUAAUACCUAUGAAAUGUAUCAGAAGAAACCUUUACAUUUUUAUAUGCAUUUGCCCUUUUAAGGAAUGAAGUAACUAAAAUUAAGAUGACAUUGCUGAAAUGGGUGUGUCAGUCUUCACAAAUUGCUACCACCCAAAAUCUGGUUAUCGUUUUUCCUUUAUUUAUUUAAUUUUUAUUUUGUUUUAUUGAGGUAACAUUGGUUUAUAACAUUAUAUAAAUUUCAAGUGUACAUGAUUAUAUUUUGACUUCUGUAUAGACUACAUCAUGUUCACCACCAAAAGUCUAGUUGCCAUCCAUCACCAUACAUAUGUGCCCUUUACCCCUUUCGCCCUCCCCCUGCCCCCUUCCUCUCUGGUAACCACCAAUUUGUUCUCUCUAUCUAUGUGUUUGUUGGUUUGUUGGUUUAUCUUCUACAAUGUAUGAAAUCAUAUGGUAAUAGUCUCUCUCCCUCUGACUUAUUUCACUUAGCAUAAUACCCUCAAAGUCAUCCCUGUUGUCGCAAAUGGCAGUAUUUUUUUCUUUUUUACCACAUUUUCCUUAUCCAUUCAUCAGUUGAGGGGCAUUAAGUUUGCUUCCAUAUCUUGGCUAUUGUGAUUAAUACUGCAGUGAACACAGGGGUGUAUGUAUCUUUUCAAAUUAGUGUCUUCUCCUUUAUAACCUAAGUUUCAGCUUUGCUCUACUCAAAGGACUCCCAAUGAUGAAAAUAUCAUGUAAUUCUAGCCUAAUAUUUUGCAUUAAAUCAUCCAUGUGCUUUCAACUCUUUGGUUGUUGAUAUCACUAUAAAUCUUCUCUUGGGUACCCAGUUUUUAUAUCAAGCAUUUAUAAACUUCAUAAACAUUUGGUGGAAGAUGUUUUUUAUUAUUAUUUCUUUCUAAAUUUCUGCUCAAUUCUUCUGGUGAUUUGUAGCAGUAGGUGCAUGCUAAAUAACAUCAGGUAUUCCACCAAAGUAUUUUUUAAUGCACGCUUCCAAAAAUUUGUGGGUAAUUUCUAAAAUAGGUUCUGAGCAGAGGGUCUUAGAGAGGAAAAAGGAUCAUUAGUAUCCCUCCUCGGCUAAUUUAGCCAAGUACAUUCCACAACUCUCCCAAUCAGUAUAUUAAGCAGAUGUGGUCUUUGUCCACCUAGUAAGUUGCGUUAGACCUUUCAACACUCUGCAGCCUUUUUAUCACUCAGCUGCCAAGUUCCCUAGGGUAAUCAUAGACAGCUUGUCAAUUUAAUUGCAAAGAAACAGGCUUUCUUGUGACCAUUCCAAUUUUAGCUGCUACUUUAAAUUGUACAUGAUAGUUCUUCCAUGCUGUCUGCCCUUUAAACAGUGUGGAUCUCUGCAAGCCUCUUAAUGGUGAUGGAAAAAGGAGGCAACGCUGAAAAUCUGGCUUGCUGAUAGAGACUGUAACAUGCAUUUUAUUAAGUUGCUGCUUUAGGAGGGGAAGCUUUUCCUUAAGCCCAGUAUGCUGCCAUUACAUCACCUAAAUUAUUUUUUUUCUUUUCAAUCUUCCGCUUUCAUGCACAUUUUCCUCCUUUCUGGGUGAUAGAGGAUUCAUAGGCCAUCUGGAUUCUGAAACAUCUGGACACUGAAUUUCUGCAGAGGAGAAUCAGAGGGAAGAGACGAUCAGUGGUACUGGGUGUCUCUGGAGAGAUUUAAAUCAACGAGGAUAUUUUGGUUGUCUCCCUUUUGGAAAGUUAACACAAAAAGUGAAAGGAAAAAACAGCACCUCAUAGGAACCCAGUGUUUCAAGAAUGCUAAGAGUAUAAAAGACAGUCGGACUUUUAGAUAUAAAUUUAGGUCACUAACUGAAUACGUCUUUAUAUUAGAUAUCAUUUCUAGAAUUUUCCCCUAUUUUUUCAUUGUCAUGCAUUUUUGGAUUUAAUUUAGUUAGAUAUACUUUUAACAGUGCUGAAUUUAGAUACUGCAUCAUUUUUGCAUAACAUAUUUUACCUUAAGCUAUGUAUAAUUCAAUUCAAUAAAAUUUUAUUAAUCAAGUGUUAUAAGUAAAGUCAUAAAACUAACAUAUCAAAAAUGUUCAUGUGUUCAGCUUGAUCGAAAGACUAGAUAUGGGCACCACUUAGGUAAAUCAAGAAGAGUUACUUUUCUAAGAUAUGCAGAAGAAUAUUAGUACAAAGAGAUAAAUAAUGUUUCCCAGGUCAGGUGGAGUUGUAAGCUUGUGAAUCCAAAAAUCAAGAACCAAAAUGAUAACAUAUGUGUGUGAGAAGGUCUUGUUAGACCUUUGGAAAGUCCAGCUGCCCUCCUACAAGCUCAGCUUUAUGUGUAUAUGCAUGUGUGUGUGUGUAUGUGUGUAAGUGUGUGUGUGUGUAAGGAUUUGCACAGAGACAGAGGCUGCCCUGGAAUGUGCAGGGGACCACCUCCUCUGGACCAUGAAUCUCGGUGAUGUACCAUAUAUAAUCUGACUACUCAGUUCAGUACAGUCUAGUCAGGCGUGAGCACAGGGCUUAUUUAUCACUCUCAGCUGUUCCCCGCUAACACAGCCUGGUCCACCAUCUUGACUGAACUUGAGCUGCAGAACCAGAACAAGGAUGAGUCACCCAGAUUGCUCAGCAAAUCACCGCAGCAGGCCCUUAGACCAGUCUUAAAGCUCCUCCUUUGUGUAAAGGCACUAGACUUAGCUGUCAGGCGAGUGUGAAGAGCUGUUCAGAUUCUAUGAUUUAUUUCCCAUGCUAUUGCAAAAUUUUAUUUUUUCUUUCACUAUAUUUUCUCUGGUAAAUAUUUGGGCUGUUAAUAGAUUUUCUUUCCUGAAAAAAUUGAAAUUGCUACUCUUUAAGUACUCUUUAAGAGUACUCUUUAAGAGAUAUGAGUUUGAAGCAACCAGUCUUAUGCGCCUUCACGCAGUUUUCUUGAAGUACGUGAUGCUCUGCCGUAUAUAAAAACAGUUAAGACUGUCAGUUUCUUGAUUUCUAGGAAACCAGAACUGCUCAAAAGAAAAAGAAUCCAACAGUAAAAUUUUAGUAACUACUUUUUUUUAAAAUCAGGCAUACCUACAUUUAAAAAUAAUAACUCUCUGAAAUAAGGGACUACAGACAUAUUCUCUGAUUUCUGCCAGUUCAUUGUGUCCUUAAUUUCCUCUAACUGCGUCUUCAGCGAGCCCCACAAUGAAGUACAAUAUUAGAUGUUCACUUGUAUGAUAUCAACCUUGUAUGAAGAGAAUGAAUAAAAAAUGAAGUUCUUAGCUGUGAUCUAUUUCAGAUUAGCCAUUUUCAUUUAUAAAACUGUUUAUUUUACUUUGUCAGCUUGAAGGUCAAUCUAACUUCAAAUUGCAUAUUGCAGAAUUUCAACAAAGAUAUGAGGCCCAUCGCUGCUCCCUUUAAGACUAAAGGUGAAAAGCUGAGUCUUAACCGGGAUAUUGGGUAGAGCUUUAUGAAAUGGACCAGAUCACAUUGAUAUAAGACUUGCAAAGACACUUCACUUUGAAGUCAAAACAUCAGCGCCUGGACAGGGUGGCAGGUGGCAUCAGUAUUAGCAAGUAUUAAUUGUGGGCAUUAACCCAGGACAAGAAAACACUUGUCACACACUAAGGAAAGAAUGAACAAUAGCCAUCAUAUCAGCUACCGUUUAUUGAACACUUACUGUAUAUCAGGCAUCAUUCUAUGCAUUUUAGAUUAUCUCAUGAUGUCUCCACAAUAACUCUUUGAAGUAGGUACUAUUGCUAUCACAUUUUACAGAUGAAAAAGCUGAGGGACAAGGAAGUUAAGACUCUUGGCCAAGAUCACACAGCAAGUACAUGAGGGAGCAAGGUUUCAAACCCAGGCAGAAAGACUCCAAAACUCAUAUUCUAAAUGACAAGGUAUGUGAAUAUGCAAUGUAGAGGACACUACAAAGACUAUAACUCAAUGUGCUCAGAUAUUGACCUGUAAUUAAAAAAAAAACCUAGCACCUCCUACAGACUCCGAUAGCACUCUUAGAUCAUCACAUCUUCCAAUAAUUACAUAUUUCACACACCCCGACUUGGUGGUAAACUUCACGUGGACAGAGACCAUGUCUGUUUUGUUCACGACUGUAAUGUUGGUGCCUAGCACAUUACCUGUCACAUUGUAGCCAUUUAAUCAAUAUUUAUUGACUAAAUAUUCAAUAAAUAGAUUUCUUGAAUAUUUACUGAAAUGUGAUUUCUUGUGAGGCACUGUCCAUUCCUCAGGAUGGUUUUAAAUAAGGCCACAGAGUUUAGCAAAAAGAAUGUUGCAUUUGGACAUAAAACUUAAGUUCUAUCCUAACACUGCAACAUCUCAGUUCUGAACAACAACAUCCUUGGACAAGCCACUAAACCUCUGGAGUCUCGAUUUUAUCAUCUGAUCAGCAAAUACAAUAAAGAUAUGUUUCCUAAGAAAGUUUUGGGUGCUACGCAAAUCCUCAUUAUUAUAACUAUGGGUUCUUCUAUUUGAUGACGAAAUAUCUAAAAAGGUAGAUCCAAAUAAGGAAACCAAAUCCUUUUCAUGGAAUCCAGAGACAGGAACACAGACCAGGAAGACACAAAUGCUAAAUGCUCAUUUCACUGAAAAGAGCUUAUGUCCUCAAACUUGCCUGAAUAGGCCUGGUUGCUUUUCUUGUUACAUAUCCCAUCUUAGUACUUGUACUGAAGGAAACAGCAGUGCAGGUAUGCCUCUGAGAUUAAAGCAUUUCUCAACUGAUUCAGGUCAGCAAGCCUUCUACCCUUUAAGAUAGGCUGACUAUUUAAACAUUUUAAAAUGCACCCCAAAUUCUUUGUCCAGAGUUUAACCCCCAAAGGCGUCUUCAAGCUUUUACUCAAGUCGACCUUCUCAACAUUUCAGCCAUGUUUCCUGAAGACACUCCCUCCUUUAGGGUGGCUUAUUUGAGAAGCAGUCUUUUGUCUCCAGUAAGGAAAAUAGUUUUGCUUUUUGGUUAUAUAUUUUCUUUUUCUGAAAGGACCAAGCUCAGAAACUACUGUGAGAUAAAAUCAUAGAUGUACUAUUUCAUACGGAGGGAGCCCAGAUUUAUUUUUUCUUUGAUGGGAAUUUUAGCAAUGCCCCCAAAAUAUAUAGCUUUCCUAAAUCAGUCAGUUACAAAAACGAAGUAUGUCUGUAUUUGGCAAGUGAAUUUAAAAAUGGAUUCUCAUAUUGUAAUAAUUCCUUUUAUAAGUGGAGUUGCUUAUUAUAAAAUUUUACCAUUUUGACAUUAUCUUACACCAAUUAGAAGUCCAUUCAACCUCAGCUGAAACCCACAACUUUUAAAAUACUCUUUAAAACCAAUUUCCAUUGUAACAAAAACGAUGAAUAAUUUUUUGUUAUUAAGUAUAAUAAUAGCUGACAUAUAUUUUAUGAUCAAAAACAUUGCUAAUAUAAAAACGGAUUUUAAAAUUGCAAAUAAACCUUUAAAAAGUGACUUAUCCAGGGGUUCUAAACUUGUGGUCCAUAAAUAGAAUUAAGAAAGUCUUUGAAUAUGCAUAAAAACAAAAAUUAUACUUUUAUUUUCAUAACGUCUAAUUAAAAUCUUGCAUUUCCUUCCAUUAUGAAUGUCAGGAACCAAUCACAAUAGUAUUAGCAGUUACCUGUGAUUUUGUCAUUAACAAAAAUCACAAACAUUUUCAAAUUAUAUUCAGUUACUGCAAAUAUUUCAAAAUAUCUUUUUUACCCAUCACUCCAUCCAAAUUGUGGUAGUUCUUAGACAAACUACUAGAGCAUAUUGUUUAAUGUGUUAAUAAAGAAACUCACAUUUCUUGAUCACAAUGUUUCAAAAUUUUGCUAACUGCCCUUCCAUACAAUUGGUUUCCUUUGAAACCCUAUGUAAUUUACCUUAUGCAUUUAAAAACCUUACACUCACACCCUAAUCCUUGGAACCUGUGAAUGUUACCUUAAAUGGCAAAAGGUCUUUACAGAUGUGAUUAAGUUAAUGAUCUUGAGGUGGACAGAUUAUCCUGGAUUAUCCCAGUGGGUGCUAAAUGUUAUUACAAGUGUCCCUGUGUGAGGGAGGUAGAGGGAGAUUUGACGACAGAAGAGAAGACGCCCACAUGACAACAGAAGCACAGAUUGGAGAGGUGACCUUGAAGAUGGAGGAAGUGGCCACAGAAAAUGAAACAGGCAAGAAAUAGAUAGUCCUUUGGAGUCUGCAGAGAGUGGAUGGCCUGCCAAUACCUAGUUUUGGCCCAGGGCAACCAAUUUUGGACUUCUUGAUCCCAGAACUGUAAGAUCAUAAAUUUGUGUUGGUUUAAGCCACAAAAUAAAUAAAUACAUAAAUAAAAAUAAUAAAUAAAAACUUUAUUCUGAGAGGGAGUCCACAGGCUUUACCAAACUAUGAAAGGGGUCCUUGACACCAAAAAGCAUUAUGAAUAUCUAUCUAAAAACCAUAUUAAACAGUUUAGAGUAUGCUAUGGACUGAAUUGUGUCCCCUCAAAAUUCGUAUGCAGAAACCCUACCCCCCAAUGUGACUAUAUUUGGAGAUGGGGCCUUUAUGGAAGUAUUUAAGGCUAAACGAUGCCAUAAGGGUGGAGCUCCGACCCAAUCGUGUUAGUGUCCUUAUAAGAAGAGACACCAGAGCUGGCCCACUCUCUCUCCUAGUGAGGACACAGCAAGAUGGCGGCCAUCUGCAAACCGGGAAGAGAGCUCUCACCAGAACCUGACCAUGCUGGCCUAAUUUUGGACUUUUAGCCCCCAGAACUGUGAGAAAAUAAAUUUCUGUUGUUGAAGCCCCCUGAUCUGUGAUAUUUCGUUGUAGUAGCCCAGGCUGACUGAUACAGAGCAAUUCUAGCUUUUUCCUUUUCAAAGGCUUUCUUGCUACUUCCUUUAGUGGCAAAUCUGGAUACUAUCUGGGACUUUGCUGUACUCCUUUGUCAGGAUUCAAGACCUAGACCCACUUUUAAGCCCAAAGUCCUGUGAGUUGUUACUUAAAUAAACAUCAUAAAAAGGAAACAACGUAUUAGACAAUAAUAAACAACAUUUAAAUACAGUUGUCAUUUGUUUCAGAAGUAGGUGGCAGUUGCUGCUGCUGCUAUCAGAUUCUAUUUCCAUGAGCAACAUUGUUUUCACAAGUCCUCUGUGAUCAACUCCCUCUGAGACACUCAGCGGCUCCUGGUACACACAGUGACUUUGCAGGCCCUGCCCCACAGGGAACACCACAAUUCACCCAAUUAGGCAACUAGGUGUCCUGAAUUUUUGUUAAGGACCAUAUUCCUACAUCAGCACUCAUAACCUCCUUCAAGAAACACACGGUACCAUUUCUGGUUAACCUUAAAACAAUCACAUUAAAAUAAAGAGGACUGUCAGUGGAGCAAUUUUAUAAAUAGCUAAAAUUAAACAGAGCAAGACUUGCAGUGCUAAUGCAUAAGCAAAGAACUGCCUGCCUGCAUUUCAUCGAGAAUUCCUGAUAGCAAACUGCAGUACGUUUAUUAUACAUUAAUUCAACACAGCACUCAAAAUGAAUUUAUGCCCUGGCUGAAGGGUGCAAUAUGGAAACUAAAUAUUAUUUAUUAUCUUAAUAUUAGUAACCAUACUAAAAAAAAUUGUGUUAACAAUUCAGAGUGUUUAAAAAACUAAGGAUACCACAACUCUCUUUACCAACCAACGGCUUCUGCCUUAAUUUAUGCAAGUGUAGCCUAUAGCUAAAAUCUUUGUAUAUUUGUUUCCCCAUGGUAUUAGUGCUCAAAAAUAGGACACUCUUUCAAGGGCACCUUAUAAACACAGAACUAUAAUUUAUUUGGCAAAUUAAAGCUCAUAUAAAAUGUGCACACAGAGGUACAGAUUAACAUAUUUAAUUUCAAUAUUACCUGCAAACCUAUUUUUUCCCAUACACUGUUCUAAUUAGUCAUAUAAAAUCGUGUCUGCGUAUUAUAAGCAAUUAUUUUAGUGGAAAUAGACACUGGAUCUGAAUUAAAUAUACUGUAAAAAAGAUAACGCUUUUAUGGAAAUUAAUAUAUCCAUUUGUAUCCAGAAAAAUGUGUUCUAGUUAAAUGGCAUGAGAAUGUUAAGCAUUCAAAACCUGAUUGCGGUAAAAGUUGAGAUUUUUAUGAUUUAAUAAUACAGAAUAAUAUGCAAUCUUGGUAAUACACCAGUAUUUAUAUUUUGAUGCUAUUUCCAAGUUUCCGAAUCCCCAGUAACCAUUAGAGUCACUUUAUGCAGGAGGAUUUUUCCUAUUAUGAAUAUUCACUCCCCCUACAGUUGAAUGUGCAAAUUGUUUGUGAACAUUCUAUUUAGCAAAUGAUUCUUUUCCUAUUAAGCCUAUACUGGGAAUGAUAGUGGGGUACGUAUCAAGCUUACAUUGCAUUAAAAUAGUUGCAAAUAGAUGCUGAUAAAAGAUUAUGCCUGUAAGUAAACGGAAGCUAUAACUUAAGUGGCAGGAUUAUUAGGCUUUCUAAAAGUUGUAAACUGACAUAAAGGCUUCGCCACUUAAGGAUUUUUGGAAAGAACAGAAUUAAAUUGAAGACACUUGACCCAGCACAGGGCAUGUGACGGGAUGAUCUAGUACCUCAGACUGGAAGCUUCUCAUUCUUAGGUCUCAGCUCAGAUGUCACCUCCUCAGAGAAAUCUUCCCAAACUCCUUAUCUCAGAAGGCUCCCCAGCCCCAGCCCAGUCUAGUACUUUCACCUCCCCACCUGAUGUGUUACUUUCACAGGACAAAUCAGAUUUGUUCAUUUCCUUGUUUAUUAUGUGUCUUCCCUACUAGAGUAAACUCUGUAAGGAUAGGGACCAAUCAAGCAUUUAGCACUGUUCCUGGCACAAACAAGGAGCUCAAUUACCAUUUUCUGAUUGAAUGAAGGAGCUAAUGUGAUAUUUCUUUAAGACAUUUCUCUAAGAUUAUUUAGGAUUUGGUUGUCAAGAAAUCUUAGAUUUAUUAAAAGGUUUUUAGGAUAUUCCCUUGGAUUCAGGAUUAGCUGUCCAUUCUAUUCACAAAAACAUGGGGCUAGAAAAAUCGCGUCCUUCCCCUCUUGUGUACCUUCCCAAGCAGACGAGAAUCUGCCUUGUAGAUUUAAAUGUAUGUUGUGUGAGGAGAGCCCACACAACUCCCUGAAUGACACGUCAUUGUUUUUGCGGCUACCCGUCAUGGCCCCAGGUAACUCUUCCUGCAAAAUACUGCAAACGUCCACAUAUCACUUCUUCUAACCCUCAUUUUCGCUAACUCUCAUCACUCCGGGCCUCCUGGAAUGGUUUCCUAGUUUGGGGCAAUUAGAAUCAUUAAGUCCAACCAGCAAAACCCACUAAGAUUCACCAUGGUUACUCGUUUAAACAUUGUCAACCUCUGGUCUGUCCAUCUUCUAAAGACUUUCAGAAAAGACAAGCCCACAAAACUCAUUGCAAUGUAUUAUAAUGUCAAAAAAGUGUUCCUCCUGCCUCUCCAAAAUCCUUGGUAGAGGCUUUCUUUUUGGAGUCUCAGGGUAGAUAAAAAACAGCUUGUCACCACUCAUUAACCAUGACCUGUUCUAACAUUGUAACAGAGGACCUGAUAUUGUAUAACAUUGGAUCUAACGUUAUAUAAGGGGACCAGCUCCUGGUCUUUUCCCUAUCACUCAUUAUUUUACAUGCCUGGUUCUGUUCUUCUUUCCAAUUUGAAAUGACUUUCACAACUCAAUCUGAGGGCCACACCACCAGGAACACCAUACCCGGUUUCUGUUAUUCCUCUCUAGCUUUUGUGGUUUUCAAUUUUUUUCUUUAAUAAAAUGAGUGUAAUGUUAAAUAUUAUUCACAAUCUUACCUUGUUUUGCUUUAAAUUGUAGCGUCAAAAGCCUGUUUUGCAACUUUGUCAUUCAUCCUGCUUUCUCCCAUGACUUCUACGUACAUUUUAAGCAGAAACUUCUGUUACACUGUUCUUGAAACACUUCAUUAUUAACUUCUUUCUAGCUAAAGGAUUUUAAUCCUUUGUUUCAUAGUCUUUUUCUUCUUAGCUUUUUUUUUUUUCUGGUGAGGAAGAUUGUCCCUAAGGUAACAUCUGUUGCCAAUCUCCCUCUUUUUCCUUCAGGAAGAUUGUCCUUGAGCUAACAUCUGUGCCAAUCUUCCUCUAUUUUUGUAUGCAGGAUGCUGCCACAGCAUGGCUUGACGAGCGGUAUGUACAUCUGUAUCUGGGAUCCAAACCCUCGAACCCUGGGCCACCAAAGCAGAGCAUGCAAACUUAACCACUGCGCCACCGGGUGUACUUUUCUUAGCAUUUUUGAAUGGCUUCCCAUUGCUCAUAAAUUCAAAAUCCUCACAUGGCCUGCAGCCCCUGGCUUAAUCUGGCCCUCCCUUCCUCUUCAACCUCAUUUCAUGUCACCCGCCCCCAGCUCCACACACAAAGUUCUUGCCACGCUCACCCGUGUUCUUUAGCAAGCACACCAGGUCCAGUCCGGCUCCGGGUCACCUGCUCGUGCCAUCAUUCCGCCCUGGCUCUCUUCACCCAACCUCUCCUCCCUUUUCCAGGCUAACUCCUUCCUACUCAUCCUUCAAGUCUCCUUGAAAGUGCCACUUUCUGCAGGAGGCUCACCCUGACCACCUCAUACCUCAGAGUCCCAGGAGAUUUUCUUUCACAGCACUUUCUCUUAUUUCUCUAAGUAUGUGUUUAACACUCGUGGCAUGAAGAGAGGCUGGGUCCUUGGUGCUCUCAUCUCUCUCCACCCUCACUGGUUUGGCAGUGCCACCCAUCUCAGGGCUUUAAAUAUCAUUAACAUACUGACAAUUCCCAAAUGCAUAUAUCCAUUCCAGAUUUCUCUCCUAAAUGCCAGAUUCAUAUGUCUAAUUUUCUGCUUGACAGUUGACCUAAAUAUACUUAUAGACAUAUCAGACAUCACACGUCCACCUCUGAAUUCCCACCUUCCCCCCAAAACCUGCUCUACCUGCAGCCUUUCCCCCAUUUCAGGUGACAGCACCUCCAUUCUUCCAGGUGCUCAGGCCAAAGAACCCUGGAGUCCUUCUUCACAUGUCUUUCUCUCUUACCCUCCUCCAAUCUUUCAGGGAAUCCUAUUAGGGAUUCCUUCAAAAUAUGCUCAAAUUUUGUCCAUUUCUCACCACACCCCACUCCUGGAUCACUGCCUGAGCCUCUUACAGGGCUUCCUGAUACGUUUGUCCUUCACACUGUAUCUCAACACAACAGCUAGGUGGAACUUUUAAAACCCAAGUGAGAUUGUAUCACUCAUCUGCUGAAAAUCCUUCAAUGGCUCCCCAUUUCCCUUGAAGGAAGAACCACAGACCUUACAAUGAUUUGCGUUGUCUGUCUGACUCUCUUCUUCACUCUGCUCCAACCACAGCAGCCACGCUCCUGCCUUAGGAUCUUCGUAUUGACAGGUCUCUUGUCUUAGAACGCCCUUCACUCAAAUAUCCCCAUGGAUAAUCCCUCACCUCUUUCAAAGCUUUUCUUUUUCUUUUCUAUAUCAAUUAGCACCUUCUACCUUCAUAUGUAAUCUACUCACUUUUUGCAACUAUUAUUUAUUGUCCAUACUCCUUACCAGAGUGUCAGCUCUAUGAGCUCAGGGACUUUAUUCACUGAUAUAUCCCAAGUAGCUGAAAUAUAGUGGGUUCUCAACUAUUUAUGAGAUGAAUGUAAAGGAGCCUCCUAUACAAACUUCAGUUUACAAGUGUUUACAAGGUUGUUUUAAGGAUAAAUGAAAAAAUAUGUGUGAAAGUGCUUUGUAGGCUAAAGUCCCCAUUGAUGAAGACCCCAAUCUUUAUUCCUUCCACAGAAAUCACCGUUGUUAUCAGCGGCGUAUUUUUUUCACUUAAUCUAUGUAUAUAUGAUCACAAAAAAUAUAUUAUUUAAUAUGAGCUUCUUUUCUUAAAAUAGUGAACAGCAUCAUAACAUUGAAAAGCGAAAACCCUUCACAAGACAAAGUUCUUUAUGUGAGUGAGAUUAUUGUUACUUGGGAGUAGGGAUUAAGGGACUCUCAAAACAAGUGAUGAAUUAUGUAUUUUGCAGUAACUCUGUACUUUUACUCCAGCAUGACCCUUGAAUAUCCUCUUCUGAAAAUGGAGUGCUGUAUGAAAACAGAAAUAAAUGCAAUUUCCUUAAGGUUGAGGCAAAGAUCGAGGAGAUAAAAUUCACUUUUCUAAGAGAUAGUCUAUUUGGGUUGCCAUUCUCCUUGUGUUCUGAGGCAUUCUGAUGGGAUUUAUAUUCAAUUUCUGAAAAAAUGUUGAGAAUUUCAGACUCAAAAACAUCACAAAACAGGAUAUUUUCUCAAUCAUCUAGAUGUUUAAUCUUAUAUCUACUUCUAAGUUUUGAUUUCAAAGUUGAUGUAAAUUAUAAUUUAUUGCUAUUUUAUUUCUAAAACAUUUGACUAUUUUUAAACCACC
Molecule: long non-coding RNA, 18857 nt
Filed under: Equus caballus (horse)
Lineage: Eukaryota; Metazoa; Chordata; Mammalia; Perissodactyla; Equidae
Description: lncRNA (ENSECAG00000049141.1)
Source: RNAcentral